Long non-coding RNA from Choloepus didactylus (southern two-toed sloth), 580 nucleotides. RefSeq lists it as uncharacterized. The transcript has 3 exons. The record is from RefSeq and is a predicted model, not a curated record. NCBI's taxonomy places the organism in Eukaryota, Metazoa, Chordata, Mammalia, Pilosa, Megalonychidae.
CGUAGAAGAUGAAAGCAGAGCUAAAGAGAAACAUGAAGCCUUAAAUCACUCUCCUCAAGCUCCACUUCCUUCUGUGAAUGAUUCUUCCUUGACUUAAUUUUUAUUGUGCACGCAAUAAAACAAUCCCUGAUUGUGAGCAAACGCCUAAGAAAAGAGCUCAACACGUCGGUGACACGAUUUCUAAGAGUCUGGCCCACCCCUUUACUCCCACCCUGGGCCCUUCUCUGCUAAUAAUCCUGGUUAAGUGCAGGCAUCAGGUGGUGGUCCUUGGAUCUCAAGAAAGUCUAUUUUCUGCCCGGAAAGCUGUUGGGUGAGGAUCUGAUAUUUGAACUGCUGCAGCCCUCUCACUACUGAGGAAGAGGCGAAGAGAACCAUAUCCCUGACCCAGAGCUCUGCCUUUGCUGAACUACUGAACUUGCCCCAGCAAAAAUCUAUCUCCACAUAUCUAGUUUGUGAAAAAAUCAAAUCCUGCUUUUUAAAGCCCCUGUUAGUUAGAAAUGCUCUUGCUUGCAACCAAACACAUUCCUCAACAGAUGCAAUAAUUUGUGUAUUCAUAAAAAAAAAAUACAGUAUGCCAGAU